RNAcentral lists this long non-coding RNA (7621 nucleotides) under Fragaria vesca (wild strawberry). RNAcentral's name for it is "long non-coding RNA (FVES_LNC002655)". Lineage: Eukaryota; Viridiplantae; Streptophyta; Magnoliopsida; Rosales; Rosaceae. The record is from RNAcentral.
AAUUUGUUAGUUUCUCAGGUAUAUUCUUGAUGUUGUUAUGCUUGACUUUAUUGGCUUUUGCGUUUGCAUUUGAAUUUUUAUUGUGUUUUCAUUUGAAUUUUUUUUGGAGGCAUGAAAUUUGGUGUUUGAAUGCAAAGAGUGCAAUAUAAAUUUUCCCCAAGAUGGAUUCGUGGGACUAUAGAUUUGGGAAGUUCCCAAUCCUCUGCUCAGAUCGAAUAGAUAAGUUGAGUGCUUUUGAAUUUUCAAUUUUUUUCAUUCCGUUUUUGUGUGGUUUUUAUACUGUUUGAGAUUGAGCUUGUCAUUUCAGGAAGGAUAGCCGUUCCCAUUACCUGAUUUGCAGUCUAGGACCUCAAUGAUCGAUUGCACCGACUUACAGUAUAUAGCUUGCUGAUUUGAUUUUCAUUUUUUAGCAGUUUAUCAGGUAAAGUUACAGUUUACAUGCAACAUACUCAAAUAAAGAAAACUGCAUUUCUUUCUUUCUGAGUUUCAAUCUGAUUUUUGUUUCUUUCUUUCUUUCUUCUUUUUGCUAUUGAAUGCCACCCGAAUACUAAAUUGGAGAGAUAACUGGACCUGGCUAGAAACUAAAGAUGGUGAAUGUUAAUUACUAGCUCAAUUGCUUUGAUCUUUGGCGGUCACUAUCUUUUCAAACGUAGGCAUUGUUAUCCUAUGGAUUUAAAUGCUUUUACCUGGCUAAUUAUCUUUUUAAGUUAAAUAAGUUCUAUUAAACUUUUCAAGUCUGUAGAUUUAAAUGAACUAUUGGAUAGAAAGAUUAGCUUAUGUUGAGAACUUUAUUUGAGCUGUUUUGGGUUUGUGCUUGGUUAGGAUUUAGAAUCCGGUUUGACUUGAAACUUUUUGGUGUUGUUCUUGAAUGUCUGUACUUUUGAUCUGGAAAGUGUAGUGUCCUAUGUUAAGCUAGAUAAAUGGUAGUGUUUUUCUGACGUUAAAGUGCUUUGUGCUGAAAUUGUUCUCGGUGUUGUUUUGAAUUUGAAAUUGAUUAGGAUAUAAGAUUUCUUUUUGCUUGAAAUUAUGUGGAGUUGUUCUUCAAUGUGUGAACUCUUGAUCAGAAAAGUUUAGUGUCCUAUGAAUAAGCUAGAUAACUGGUUGUGAUUUUCGGAAGUUAAGUGCUUUGUUGUCAGUGCUAUGCACUGCAGCUGUUCUGUAUUUGAAUUUGUUUAGGAUUUAUGAUUCUGUUUGGCUUGAACUAUCGUGAAGUUGAUCUUCCAUGUGUGUACUACUGAUCUGAAAAAUUUUAGUGUUCUUUGAUAAGCUAGAUAAAUUAUAGCGAGUUUCCGAUGUUAGGUGCUCAUUGAUGAGUACUUUUCUGCCAUCUACGCUUUUGUAUGAGAUAUCUUUGUUUCCUCCGCCACAUGGGUUAGUGUGCGCCCUAUCCAGAAAUGAAUAGUGUGGGGCUAGUGUAGGUCCUAUUCAUAGGGGAAUAAUGUGGUAUGUUUCGGUAAGUGCUCUGUGAAAUGACUCUCCCCUUUUUAGCUGUACAAAGGGUUAUGUGUUUGUCCUCAAAUUAUGAUAUUUUUGCCUUAUGAGAUGUGAACAAGGCAAGACCUAUGAGAUGUGAAGUGUACUGUUUGAAUAUGUGAGCUUUGAUGUGAAUAAAACUUAAUGUGUUUGAUUAGAAAUUUUAGAAUCAUGUAUAAAAUUAAUGUCUCUUGCAACAAAUUACUAAUGUGAUAUUUUGUUCUCCGUCAGUUGGUUAGUGUAGGUCCUGUUCAUAGGAGACUAAUGUGGUAUGUUCCGAUAAGUUCUCUGUGAAAUGACUCCCCCCUUUUUAGUUGUAAAAAGGGUUAUGUGGUUUGUGCUCAAAUUGUGAUAUUUUUUGCCUUAUAACAAGGCAAGACCUAUGAGAUGUGAAGUGUACUGUUUAAAUAUGUGAGCUUUGAUGUGAAUAAGACUUGAAGUGUUUGAUUAGAAAUUUUCGAAUCAUGUAUAAGAUUAAUGUCUCUUGCAACAAAUUACUAGUGUGCUUUUUGGUUCUAUGUCAGUUGGUUUAAAUAUCCGCUUGCUAAAUUAAUUUUGUUACCAUACUUUUUGUUAAUUCAUUGCCUGUGUAAUUGAUUGUUUUAAUUAGCAACGAACCAAGCAUGGGAAAUGCUCAUUGGUGAUUGAUUGUUAAACUAAGAAACAUAGGUAAGAGUUUCUGAUUUUUGUUCUACUUAGUUUUUAAUGUAAUCCACCUGUUGAGUGGUUUUGCUAAAAUGAUUUUGACUUUGUUAGCUUCUCUCCAUUAGGGCCAUUACCUAUUAUUCUUUAUUUCCAUAACUACAAGUGAUUUGCUGUCGCUACCUAUGUUUCUUGUUAUGUUCUCUUAUGGUUUGGGAUGUAAAAUUUCCCUCGGUCUACUAAUUUUUAACUUUAUUUUGUAAGUUGUAUUGUUGUCAAAUAAGAUGAGACUUUGUGGUAAAUUUCUUUUAUAAUUUUGGUUUCAAGGUUGAAAAGAGUUGGGUUAUAGGUUUCUUUUGACAAGGACUUGGGUUGUAACACAUGACGUGCACAUAUUAGGCAAAAUGCUGCACAAAAUUAUUGUAAUAUGGUUUGAAGGAUGUGACAAAUACGCUAGCUAUUACCUGGAGGUGAGAUCGAUUUGUUGGUUUUAAAAUUUAUUUUUGUGCUUAUUAGUGUUGAUGGGAGUAACAAGACACUCGAUCUAGUGUUUUAUAGAUCUAUAUCAUGAUUCAGCUUGCUGUGUCAAUUGUGUGCCUCGAAUUUGCUAGAGCAUCGAGCUUCAAAUUUGCCUUGUUUGUUAGACUUUGCUAGAUACAGGGUUUCGGCCACAAAUUGAAAUAGUUCAGGAUUCCUACUGUCAAUACUUUAUAUAUCUGGACUUCUAUGUGUUACCUUGUUCCCAUCAGCAUAUAAUAGUUAUAAAUGCUACUGCUGCAUUUAGCUUUGAUUUUCAUGGUGAAGUAACACAAAUGGAUUCAUGCAUGCAUUCAUGAACAUAAAAUACUAGACUAUAGAAGUAAUACAAAUGGAUGCAUGCAUUAUAAAUGCUGCUCUGCAUUCAAGUUUAAUACAUCCAUUUGCAUGAGCGUUCCUCUCUAGUCUAGUCCUAGAGUGUGUAUGCAAAUGGAGUUAUUUUUUUUGCUGCCUAGUCUUGCUGUGGAUAUACGACACUGGUUUGAAUAUUUUAUGGUAUUAUAGUUGAUAUAUACUGUCAAAACAUAGGUAUACAUGUAUGCUUUAUGGUAUCAUAGUUGAUAUAUAAUGUUUUGAUAUAAGAAUACAUGCAUGUUUAAGCCGAUUUGUGGUUAAAGAGUGUCUAAUAGUCUAAUAGAUAAGAAAGAAAAAAGAAAAUAAAGCAGACUAGAAGUACUCUCACUAAAAGUCUUAGUUCACUUGAUAUGAGGAUCACUUUUUCUUGGAUCAUUGAAUGUAUAUGUUGUAGCAAAUACAACCUCUUGAAUUUCCUUAGUUUUGCUUUUGAGAUGAAACGGGAACUGUAACCGGUUGGUGAUUAUUCAGAGUUUCUUUAGCUGAAUGGUGAAUGAAAGGUAUAGUGUAUAGGAGUGUUUAUAGCAAACUAUCCAUGCUUGUCUAUGAAAAAUACAUGACAAGAAGGAAAACUAUGUUUCUACGCUCGGUAGUAUCACUGUUGAUUGUAAUGUUAUGCUCAAAUUAAGUAGCAACACCAACUUUAAAUGUUGGCUAGUUGACCUUGUAUUAAUUUGAGCGACAGGCAAGCUUUUUGCGAAAUAUGUUUCAAGCCGUUAUGUAGUAAAUAUGAGCUUAUAUGAGUUAUUUUUAAUUUUUGUGUCUUAUAUCAGCAACUUGCCUACAUUGCCCUCAUGCCUUAGAGAUGAUUUAACUCAGCUAUAGUACGUUUAUGUAUAGUGCAUGUCAAUAAGCGUAGCACCACCCUCAACACUGCAUUUAUAUCUAAUUUCAUCCGUGUAGAAUUAAUAUAUGAACCAAUAAAGGGUGCACGAGCUGGAUUGGUGAAAUACAAGUAGUUUGCCUAACUAAUAGCAAAAAGCUCCAAGAGGCCGGCCUCUCUGAACAGCAGAACUUGCAUACACCAUAUAAUAGCUUAGCCUCUCUAGGCCUUUUGGUUUCUUGCCAUGAAAAAAUAAUUAAAAUCAAAGUAAACUUUUAAGAAUUAUCAAUAAGUGCACUUUAUUAUUGUUUCACCUUAAUUGACUAUAACUCACCAUAGAUCAAUGUUUCUUAAUUAUUAUUUUUUUAAAGAUAGUAGAUAAUUGAUAAAACAAACAACUCUCAAAGUUUCACUUAAAUUUAUUGAUAUUUUUCUAAAACUUCUAUCAAAAUUUCUAUUUUUCGGACUAUCGAUAUUUUCUCGAUGUCUGAUAUUUCAGUCAUUGGAAUGAACUAUGUAAAUUGCUGGAAAGUAAAUUAAUUUUUGGGUAAACACGAUAUAAUAAUAAGAAAAAAAAAUCAGUUUCUUAUUAAUAUAUUAAUGUUCGGACUAAACUUUUACAUCGAAUGUUUUUAAGAAAGUUGUUGGGGUCGGAUUUUUAGGUCCUUAGAACAACCGUCUGGUGCGGGCGUGCCAACACCUUGAGGAAGUGUGCAUGUCUUGAUCUUGUCUGGUUCAUGCGCUUUUCUUGACUUCUCUUCAAGAAGAUGUGAGCAGAAACGGUCAAUUCUGCUGCUGGGUUCUUCACAAUGACCUAGGAUGGCUCUUGAGGAUUUACUUCAGUAACAAAAUACAAUAAAAAUAAAGGGAUAUUUGCUAGAGAGGUGAAUCUCUAAGAGCAAAUGCACCCAUUUGUGGUGGGUUGGACUAAUCCUCAACCCGGGCUAAUCCACUAUUCAUCCAAAUCAGUCUUUGGUCCUUGGUUUGACGAUACAACAACGAGAUCAAUCCGAGAACCAAUUACUAUUUAUCUUUUAUAAAAAUGUUUUUUAAUAAUAAAGAAUUAUUAUUUUUUUACUUUAUUAUUGAAUUCAAUAAUUAUUUAUUUAUAAACAACCGCAUGUGGGUGUGCAGCAGGUGGGUUGAGGUGUGGAUGAUGUAAUGCGGGCCCCGCAAUUUCAGUUAGUCCAGACUAAUCCAUGGACUGAGAAUUGAUCCACGGCUUGCCCCGGUUAGCUGGGACCCAUAGCUAACCCAGAUGAAUUCUCAGCCGCUGCAUUCAAUUUUCUGUCCACCCCUCACCCCAACCCAGCCUUUUACUCCUCUGCUGCAUGUGCUCUAACAAUGGGAUGGACUGGUGCUCGCGAUGAGGCUUUAUGAACCAUGAAAUCAUAUUUCACAAAAGUUAGGUUAUUUACAAACAUCACGUUUGUUCCCUUUCAAAAAAAGAAAAAAAACAAACAAACAACACGUGUGUUCUUACUUGAGUAUUAAAUUUGUUAGGGUUGUUUAGAAAAAGAAAAGAGUGGUUUAAAGUAAAAUUAAAAAAUAAUAUAAUUUAUUAUCAUAAAUAGAUGUUUUUAAAUCCUAUUAAAACAAAAAAAGAAGAUGUUUUUAAAUCAUAAAUAGAUGUUGUUAACCAUGGUUAGAGUGAUUAAAAUAUAGGACAUGUGGCAUUUAACCAGGUGGGUGGGGAUGAAGGUGGGGAAGUAACGGUGGGGAGCAAAUUUGCAUCCCAUACAUUUAACCAGGUGGGUGGGGAAGUAAGGGUGGGGAGCAAAUUUGCAUCCCAUACAUCAUCCCUGUUUUUCUCCGUGGCCCAAUAGUUGAUUGACAUGUGGCGCGCAUGGUGCUAGUAUAAUUAUACUAUAGUGUAGCUAAUAAUUUCCGCAUUUGUUGUAAUCAAUGAUGAGCUUGAAGAACUUCGAGAGUUAUUUAUUUGCUAAUUAUGAUUGUGCAUGAACAAACAAGCUUGGCUCGAUAUAGCUAAUAAUAAGUUUAAACCAAUUAAAUGGAUUUUGAAAUNNNNNNNNNNNNNNNNNNNNUUGAUUUUCAUGGUGAAGUAACACGAAUGGAUUCAUGCAUGCAUUCAUGAACAUAAAAUACUAGACUAUAGAAGUAAUACAAAUGGAUGCAUGCAUUAUAAAUGCUGCUCUGCAUUCAAGUUUAAUACAUCCAUUUGCAUGAGCGUUCCUCUCUAGUCUAGUCCUUAGAGUGUGUAUGCAAAUGGAGUUAUUUUUUUUGCUGCCUAGUCUUGCUGUGGAUAUACGACACUGGUUUGAAUAUUUUAUGGUAUUAUAGUUGAUAUAUACUGUCAAAACAUAGGUAUACAUGUAUGCUUUAUGGUAUCAUAGUUGAUAUAUAAUGUUUUGAUAUAAGAAUACAUGCAUGUUUAAGCCGAUUUGUGGUUAAAGAGUGUCUAAUAGUCUAAUAGAUAAGAAAGAAAAAAGAAAAUAAAGCAGACUAGAAGUACUCUCACUAAAAGUCUUAGUUCACUUGAUAUGAGGAUCACUUUUUCUUGGAUCAUUGAAUGUAUAUGUUGUAGCAAAUACAACCUCUUGAAUUUCCUUAGUUUUGCUUUUGAGAUGAAACGGGAACUGUAACCGGUUGGUGAUUGUUCAGAGUUUCUUUAGCUAAAUGGUGAAUGAAAGGUCUAGUGUAUGGGAGUGUUUAUAGCAAACUAUCCAUGCUUGUCUAUGAGAAAUACAUGACAAGAAGGAAAACUAUGUUUCUACGCUCGGUAGUAUCACUGUUGAUUGUAAUGUUAUGCUCAAAUUAAGUAGCAACACCAACUUUAACUGUUGGCUAGUUAACCUUGUAUUAAUUGGAGCAACAAGCAAGCUUUUUGCGAAAUAAGUUUCAAGCCCAUACAUAGUAAACAUGAGCUUAUAUGAGUUAUUUUUAAUUUUUAUGUGCCAUAUAUGAGCAACUUGCCUACAUUGCCCUCAAGCCUUAGAGAUGAUUUAACUCAGUUAUAUUACGUUUAUGUAUAGUGCAUGUCAAUAAGCGUAGCACCACCCUCAACACUUCAUUUAUAUCUAAUUUCAUCCGUGUAGAAUUAAUAUAUGGACCAACAAAGGGUGCACAAGCUGGAUUGGUGAAAUGCAAGUAGUCUGCCUAACCAACAGCAAAAAGCUCUAAGCAGGCCCGGCCUCUCUGAACAGCAGAACUUGCAUACACCAUAUAAUAGCUUAGCCUUUCUAGGCCUUUUGGUUUCUUGCCAUGGAAAAAUAAUUAAAAUCAAAGUAAACUUUUAAGAAUUAUCAAUAAGUGCACUUAAUUAUUGUUUCACCUUAAUUGACUAUAACUCACCAUAGAUAAAUGUUUCUUAAUUAUUAUUUUUUUAAAGAUAGUAGAUAAUUGAUAAAACAAACAACUCUCAAAGUUUCACUUAAAUUUAUUGAUAUUUUUCUAAAACUUUUAUCAAAAUUUCUAUUUUUCGGACUAUCGAUAUUUUCUCGAUGUCCAAUAUUUCAGUCAUUGGAAUGAACUAUGUGAAUUGCUGGAAAGUAAAUUAAUUUUUGGGUAAACACGAUAUAAUAAUAAGAAAAAAAAAUCAGUUUCUUAUUAAUAUAUUAAUGUUCGGACUAAACUUUUACAUCGAAUGUUUUUAAGAAAGUUGUUCGGGUCAGAUUUUUAGGUCUUUCGAACAACCGUCUGAUGCGGACGUGCCAACACCUUGAGGAAGUGUGCAUGUCUUGAUCUUGUCUGGUUCGUGCAUUUUUCUUGACUUCUCUUCAAGAAGAUGUGAGCAGAAAUGGUCAGUUCUGCUGUUGGGUUCUUCACAUUGAC